RNA transcript from Triticum aestivum (bread wheat), 1377 nucleotides. RefSeq lists it as uncharacterized. The transcript has 7 exons. The record is from RefSeq and is a predicted model, not a curated record. Lineage: Eukaryota; Viridiplantae; Streptophyta; Magnoliopsida; Poales; Poaceae.
GUGCAAGGAAAAUUAAAAGACGAGAGAAAAGCGGUGGAGGCCGAACGAGAGGGGCUCGUUCUUCCCACCCCGAGUGCCGGCUAGGGUUGCCGCCGCCGCCGCUGCCGCCGCCCCAAUCCUGCUCUGCCCGCCUCGUCUCGCCUCAGAGAGGAGGAAGAGUUGCUCUUCCAUGGCUCGCAGAGGAGCCGUCGCCCCCGCCGCCACGAUGGAGAUGGAGUACCUGGACUGGAAGAAGUGCGCGCCCGUGCUCUACGACCUCGUCAUGUCCCAGCCGCUCGAGUUGCCCUCGCUCACCUUCCAGUGGCUCCUCUCAGAGUCGCCAGCCUCCACCCGCUCCCACAGCCUCGUCCUCGGCACCCACACCUCCGAUGACUCCCCCAACCACCUCAUGCUCGUCGACCCGUGCUCUAGCUCCUGCCGCCGAGGGCCGCACCGCCCCGUCAGUGUCCAUCGGUCACUCAGCGCCGCAUAAGGGCGAGGUCAACAGUGCCGGGUGCAUGUCUACCGCCUUGUGGAGGACGGCGAUCUCAAGGCCGGGAAUCGAGCCCCAGUUCUAGAUGCGCAACAGGUGUUUGAGACAUCGAGGACCGCACCAUGAAAGAGCGGGAGAUGCCGAGCUACAUCAGGAUGCCAUUCCCUCUGACGCCUCUCGCGUCUCUCUUUUCUGCCCUUGCUUCGAUUCGAUUCGAUUUGGAUGUUGCGUUGUUGUUACUCAUGAAGGUCCGAUUUGCUUUACUUCCUGAUACGGUCACGCAGGUCGCUGUUAAGGCCUCGAGCUGGCUGCGACCAAGCACGGCCUCUAGCUCGCCCUGCACCGCGAUUGCAGUCGCGCGGCUGAUGACCACGGGCUGCUCCACGCACGGACGACAAGCACGGCAUCCGCGAUCAAGGAGAACCUGAGAUGCAACAUCAACGUGGUGGUCAUAUAUCAGAAAGGCAAGUUCUUAUGAAUGAAAGGUCAAGAUCUCCGGCGGCAGGCCAACGGGCACCAUCUCGAGCCAUCGAACCUGCAUGAGAGACAAGAAACACAAGGUCCAUUAUGAGUCUGUACUAGGAUUGAAGUAGGAAGCUGCCAGAGGUGUGUAAUUCAUGUACGUGUGUCGACUUGCAUAAUUAAUGUUGAGGGUUUGCCUAGAAGAAUGAUGUCAGUUUACAACGGGAAGAAUGAUGUUUUUGUACAAAAUGAACGCCUAGCCGUAUUUUACCGAGGGAAUGAUAAUGUUUCAAAUAGAUUGGUGCGUUGUUUCAUAAAUAUGUGCUGACCAGGCUGAAAGUUCAAGUUGUGUGUUAGACCUUCAUAUGUUGUUCACUAUAUGAAUUCAAACUGUCGUUCAUGAUUAUGGCCCUAUGAUAUUAACAUAUACUGCUCAUGGUGGU